AGGACCAUAUAAUUCUUUUCUACAUGAUCCAUCAAUGAAUCCAAGUUUAUUGCGACCUAUAAUUGCAAUUUUCAUAGCUCGACUCCAUACUGAAAAAUUAUCAGCUCCAGUUAGUUGAAUUGAACUAAGUAAUACGCCUGAAUUAUCUAUUGAAUGUAAGAACAAAGGAUGAUUAUGGCUCAGCUUCUCAGGCAACUCAUUAUCGACAAUUGCCAUGGUUUUGGCUGAGAUCUUGAAGCUCUACUGUGCUGGCUCUGAUACCAUGUUAAUCUUCUUGUAGCUG
This 283-nucleotide unclassified non-coding RNA is filed under the name Hevea brasiliensis (rubber tree). Lineage: Eukaryota; Viridiplantae; Streptophyta; Magnoliopsida; Malpighiales; Euphorbiaceae. The record is from RNAcentral.